RNAcentral lists this long non-coding RNA (400 nucleotides) under Homo sapiens (human). RNAcentral describes it as "non-protein coding lnc-THAP7-5:1". Lineage: Eukaryota; Metazoa; Chordata; Mammalia; Primates; Hominidae. The record is from RNAcentral.
GAGCGCUGAUAUUCACAAGGAUCAGCCUUACUAUGACAUCCCCGACGCCCCCUACCGGAUCACGGUUCCUGACACGUACGAAGCCCGUGAGAGCAUUGUGAAGGACUUCGCUGCACGCUGUGGGAUGAUCCUCCAGGAGGCCAUGAAGUGGGCACCUACCGUCACCAAGUCCCACCUGCAGGAAUAUCUGAACAAACAUCAGAACUGGGUAUCGGGACUGUCCCAGCACACGGGGCUGGCCAUGGCCACUGAGAGCAUCCUUCACUUUGCUGGCUACAACAAGCAGAACACAACUCUUGGGGUAUGUGCGAGCCUUCUGAAGAGCAGUGACCCCUUAGACCAUAGGAGCCACAGUGCAGGGGAAGGCUUAGAGCUCGGCUGUCGCUUUUCAUGACGCACA